This 304-nucleotide long non-coding RNA is filed under the name Pan troglodytes (chimpanzee). RNAcentral's name for it is "long non-coding RNA NONPTRT002860". Lineage: Eukaryota; Metazoa; Chordata; Mammalia; Primates; Hominidae. The record is from RNAcentral.
UGUAUGACUCACUCUCUUCCCCUCCCUCUCCCUCUCUUUUGGUAUAUGCCUGCCCUGGGAGAACACACAAGCUCUGCUGUCAGCCAUGUGUUAGGAAUGAAGCAUGCCGGGCCUCACCUCGGACCUGCACACUGCCCCUCAUUAUGUUCAUGAUCGGCAAAGUGCUGGGCACACAGAAGGACAAUGUGAUGAAGCGCCAUCACAUGGCUGGUAGCCUGUGGUGAGUCACCGGACUUCUCGACUCCCACCUCACUAGGGUGGAAGGAACAGUAACCACAAGGCUCUGCAACUCGGGCUGCGCCCC